AGAAGGAGACCAGUGCUAAUGGCUGGGCUCCAUGGCUAUGAGGCGGUAAUUAACAGUCGAGGGCUGGUCCCUUCCUGGAAUGCUCUGGGAUGUCGGCUCCGUUUUGCUGACUUUGGAGAAAAGGAUGGCGAUAAAUAAACGUGAAGCACGCGGGCGGUGGUGCGAAAUGAUGCUUCUUCUAAUUAUCGCCAUUCCGAGGCGUCGUUAACACGCGAGCGAGCGCGGAGAAUGAUAACGACUUCUGGGGUUCGUCGAGGCUCGGAUUUGCCAUCUUAAGCCCUCAGCGCAGGGACGCCGUAUUCCCUGGGACAGACUCUCUCACAGACAAAUGAUAGCAUCGCGUAGAAGGUAAAGAGGAAACGAGUCACUGCGGCCGAAUUUAAAAGGGAAGGGUGAUCUCCCUGGCUUCCGGGACUGCAGGGAAAGGGCCCAGAAAGGCAGCGAAUGAGAGACUUUGAGGGGCACCCGAGAGGGCUGCUGGGAAAUCUUCCCUCCGUGGCAGCUCCCUCUUCUGCCAACCAAGGUCAUGAUGCAGUGACUGCACCGCUCCAUCUUUCUUUGGUGCUUGGAGGACAGAGGCGUCCCUGGAUCCUGCCGUUCAGAAGACUGAGGCUGAAGCAGCUGGAGGUUUCCUUUGUCCGUUUUAAAUUCUAGGUUCCUAUUGUGUGUCUGUUGUCUCACCGAGCACAUUUCCGUCCAUUCACAAGCAUAUGAUCUAGGACCCUGUGCUGUUGGAUGCUAAGACAAGAGGACCAGAUUGCUUGCUUUGAAAAUGCCAUGGCCAAGAGCAACCUGCGGAGGAAGCAUCUGUUCUGCUCCUGUGCCAACAAGUGCUCAAGUGCAUGAGCCGACGAGGGACAGCUCUCAUCCUAAAAACCACAGGGACCAUUCUUCCAGGGUUGUUCCAAGCCCUGCUACGAUUGAGGGGCAGGAAGUUCAUUCCUUCGCACCUCUGGGCUCAGAGCUCUCCAGGGUCACCUCUUCCUCAGUCCCUAUCCUAGCAGGCGUGCCCAACUUUUUGACAAUUUCAAGACGCUGUCACUUACGAAGCCCACAUUUAAGAACACCAUUAAGUCAUAAAAAAAUAUAUACCAUGAUAUUUUACAUAA
This is a long non-coding RNA of Mastomys coucha (southern multimammate mouse), 1109 nucleotides long. RefSeq lists it as uncharacterized. The record is from RefSeq and is a predicted model, not a curated record. Lineage: Eukaryota; Metazoa; Chordata; Mammalia; Rodentia; Muridae. The transcript has 3 exons.